Molecule: transfer RNA, 72 nt
Filed under: Ascosphaera apis ARSEF 7405
Lineage: Eukaryota; Fungi; Ascomycota; Eurotiomycetes; Onygenales; Ascosphaeraceae
Description: tRNA-Gln (CTG) (tRNA-Gln-CTG-1-1)
Rfam family: tRNA
About the family: Transfer RNA (tRNA) molecules are approximately 80 nucleotides in length.
Source: Rfam by way of RNAcentral
GGUUGAAUAGUGUAAUGGUUAUCACAUCAGAUUCUGAUUCUGAUAAUCUGGGUUCGAUUCCCAGUUCGACCU